This 253-nucleotide ribosomal RNA is filed under the name uncultured bacterium. RNAcentral describes it as "partial 16S ribosomal RNA". It matches the Rfam family "Bacterial small subunit ribosomal RNA", at positions 524 to 776 of the family's 1533-position model. The record is from RNAcentral.
UACGUAGGUGGCAAGCGUUGUCCGGAUUUACUGGGCGUAAAGCGUGCGCAGGCGGUCUUGCAAGACAGAUGUGAAAUCCCCGGGCUCAACCUGGGAACUGCAUUUGUGACUGCAAGGCUGGAGUACGGUAGAGGGGGAUGGAAUUCCGCGUGUAGCAGUGAAAUGCGUAGAUAUGCGGAGGAACACCGAUGGCGAAGGCAAUCCCCUGGACCUGUACUGACGCUCAUGCACGAAAGCGUGGGGAGCAAACAGG